Long non-coding RNA from Saccostrea cuccullata (small rock oyster), 1032 nucleotides. RefSeq lists it as uncharacterized. The record is from RefSeq and is a predicted model, not a curated record. The transcript has 5 exons. NCBI's taxonomy places the organism in Eukaryota, Metazoa, Mollusca, Bivalvia, Ostreida, Ostreidae.
UGGUAGUCUCGUUCAACCAGACCCUCGGCUGUCUCCGUAAAUCUCCGACCACCCAGAGGGUCUGGUAAAGAAUCAUGUUAGCGUUUGUAACCGUCAGAGGGCGCUAUCUUGUUUUCAUUUUGACGAUCCUUUUUGAAAACAAACGUUAAAUGUGUUUCUUCUUCUGGAUUGUGUCUUUAUAUAAAUAAAUUAAUCUUUAAUUUGGGACACCAAACGAGAAAUUGCUAUAUCAAUCGAAGGAAUGUGUAUUACGCAGGUAGGGCUACACUACUUUCACUUUUGCUUUCGUACCGAAUAUUUGCAAGAUACACACUUAUACACUUACCUAUAACUGGUGGGCAUUACUGUAAACAAUUCCUAUCUAACAGCUUUAACUUUCAGACAUAUAACUUUUACAUCUUUAAGUUAUUUUUCUGCUGAUCUAUCAUGUAUUUAUUUAAAUCGUGUAGGUGUGUUCUUUUCAGCCAAUCAAAAACUUUACCAGAAUUUCAGUAAGCCUCGUUUUGGCGUUACAAACGAUAUUGCGUAUCUUUACCAGACCCUCUGGUUGGUCGGAGAUUUACGGAGACAGCCGAGGGUCUGGUUGAACGAGACUAAUGAUAUGGAGGAAAAAUAUACAUAAAAAAGUGAAUGUAGGUGAAAGCCUGUCCACUUUUCUGAAGAGAUUAGAGAGAAGAAAACUGUGUGACGUUAAAAGAAACCAGUGAGAUAAAAUCAUAGAAAAUGUAUGAUGAUUCAGGAUGUGGUCAUUUGUGACAUUAAAACAGGAAUUGUCAUCACCAAUAGACGAAUUUCACAUUCCUAAGAGUUUUUUCCAAUUGUCGGCGUAUUGCUCAUUUUUCCCACUUUGUCCUUUGUCCUGUUCUGUGGAUGCCCUCAGACAGUGUCUACCCAUCACUCCAUGUGACCUUGGACUAAUUUUCUAGGUCAAAGAUCAUAUGUGAUGUGAAGAAAACCAGGAAACUGAUGUUGAAAGAAGUACUUAAUGACCCUUAUGAAUGGACUUGAAUGUGAAAGACUGUCUAUUGUUUA